GACGAACGCUGGCGGCGUGCUUAACACAUGCAAGUGGAGCGACGAACCAGGCUUCGGCCUGGGGCAAAGCCGCGAACGGGUGAGUAACACGUGGGUAACCUGCCCCGAUGACCGGGACAACCCGAGGAAACUCGGGCUAAUACCGGAUGUUGUCACCUCACAUGAGUGAGAUGACUAAAGAUAGCUUCGGCCUUCGCAUCGGGAUGGGCCCGCGGCGCAUUAGCUUGUUGGNGGGGUAAGUGGCCUACCAAGGCGACGAUGCGUAGCUGGUCUGAGAGGACGAUCAGCCACACUGGGACUGAGACACGGCCCAGACUCCUACGGGAGGCAGCAGUGGGGAAUCUUGCGCAAUGCGCGAAAGCGUGACGCAGCAACGCCGCG
This 381-nucleotide ribosomal RNA is filed under the name uncultured bacterium. Its description in RNAcentral is "bacterial SSU rRNA". It matches the Rfam family "Bacterial small subunit ribosomal RNA", at positions 28 to 401 of the family's 1533-position model. The record is from RNAcentral.